Molecule: non-coding RNA, 162 nt
Organism: Chiloscyllium plagiosum (whitespotted bambooshark)
Lineage: Eukaryota; Metazoa; Chordata; Chondrichthyes; Orectolobiformes; Hemiscylliidae
Source: RefSeq, a predicted model, not a curated record
CCUAGCCUACUUUGAGAGAUUGGGUAAUUAGGAGUCUGGAGAGGUGACCUCACUCAGCCCAUAAGGUAUAAUUGUAAACUAACUCAAGUCUAAUUUGCUCAAUUGCUUUGUGCAGUUGCAGCCCGUACUUGCAAGUCCGUAAUAAAUUGUCUUGUUUCCAGA